Molecule: ribosomal RNA, 475 nt
Filed under: uncultured bacterium
Lineage: Bacteria
Description: bacterial SSU rRNA
Rfam family: Bacterial small subunit ribosomal RNA
Source: RNAcentral
ACUCCUACGGGAGGCAGCAGUGGGGAAUAUUGCACAAUGGGCGCAAGCCUGAUGCAGCCAUGCCGCGUGUAUGAAGAAGGCCUUCGGGUUGUAAAGUACUUUUCAGCAGUGAGGAAGGUGGAUAUGUUAAUAGCAUAUUCAUUUGACGUUAGCUGCAGAAGAAGCACCGGCUAACUCCGUGCCAGCAGCCGCGGUAAUACGGAGGGUGCGAGCGUUAAUCGGAAUUACUGGGCGUAAAGCGCAUGCAGGUGGUUUGUAAGUCAGAUGUGAAAGCCCGGGGCUCAACCUCGGAAUUGCAUUUGAAACUGGCAAACUAGAGUACUGUAGAGGGGGGUAGAAUUUCAGGUGUAGCGGUGAAAUGCGUAGAGAUCUAGAAGGAAUACCGGUGGCGAAGGCGGCCCCCUGGACAGAUACUGACACUCAGAUGCGAAAGCGUGGGGAGCAAACAGGAUUAGAUACCCUGGUAGGCUACUGC